This 439-nucleotide ribosomal RNA is filed under the name uncultured bacterium. RNAcentral's name for it is "partial 16S ribosomal RNA". It matches the Rfam family "Bacterial small subunit ribosomal RNA", at positions 338 to 795 of the family's 1533-position model. The record is from RNAcentral.
CCUACGGGAGGCAGCAGUGGGGAAUAUUGCACAAUGGGCGAAAGCCUGAUGCAGCAACGCCGCGUGAGCGAUGAAGGCCUUCGGGUCGUAAAGCUCUGUCCUCAAGGAAGAUAAUGACGGUACUUGAGGAGGAAGCCCCGGCUAACUACGUGCCAGAAGCCGCGGUAACACGUAGGGGGCUAGCGUUAUCCGGAAUUACUGGGCGUAAAGGGUGCGCAGGUGGUUUCUUAAGUCAGAGGUGAAGGGGUACGGCUCAACCGUAGUAAGCCUUUGAAACUGGGGAACUAGAGUGCAGGAGAGGGGAGUGGAAUUCCUGGUGUAGCAGUGAAAUGCGUAGAUAUUGAGAGGAACACGAGUGGCGAAGGCGGGUCUCUGGACUGUAACUGACGCUGAGGCACGAAGGCGUGGGGAGCAAACGGGAUUAGAUACCCUGGUAGUC